UGGGGAAUUUUGGACAAUGGGGGAAACCCUGAUCCAGCCAUCCCGCGUGUGCGAUGAAGGCCUUCGGGUUGUAAAGCACUUUUGGCAGGAAAGAAACGUCAUGGGUUAAUACCCCGUGAAACUGACGGUACCUGCAGAGUAAGCACCGGCUAACUACGUGCCAGCAGCCGCGGUAAUACGUAGGGUGCAAGCGUUAAUCGGAAUUACUGGGCGUAAAGCGUGCGCAGGCGGUUCGGAAAGAAAGAUGUGAAAUCCCAGAGCUCAACUUUGGAACUGCAUUUUUAACUACCGUGCUAGAGUGUGUCAGAGGGAGGUGGAAUUCCGCGUGUAGCAGUGAAAUGCGUAGAUAUGCGGAGGAACACCGAUGGCGAAGACAGCCUCCUGGGAUAACACUGACGCUCAUGCACGAAAGCGUGGGGAGCAAACAGG
This 429-nucleotide ribosomal RNA is filed under the name Acidobacteriota bacterium. Its description in RNAcentral is "Acidobacteria bacterium partial 16S ribosomal RNA". It matches the Rfam family "Bacterial small subunit ribosomal RNA", at positions 355 to 776 of the family's 1533-position model. The record is from RNAcentral. Lineage: Bacteria; Pseudomonadati; Acidobacteriota.